AUGCGAUAAGUAGUGUGAAUUGCAGAAUUCAGUGAAUCAUCGAAUCUUUGAACGCACAUUGCGCCCUUUGGUAUUCCAAAGGGCAUGCCUGUUCGAGCGUCAUUUGUACCCUCAAGCUUUGCUUGGUGUUGGGCGUCUUGUCUCCAGUUCGCUGGAGACUCGCCUUAAAGUAAUUGGCAGCCGGCCUACUGGUUUCGGAGCGCAGCACAAGUCGCGCUCUCUUCCAGCCAAGGUCAGCAUCCACAAAGCCUUUUUUCAACUUUUGACCUCGGAUCAGGUAGGGAUACCCGCUGAACUUAA
This 300-nucleotide unclassified non-coding RNA is filed under the name uncultured Alternaria. RNAcentral's name for it is "partial contains 5.8S ribosomal RNA, internal transcribed spacer 2, and large subunit ribosomal RNA". The stretch from base 1 to 102 matches the Rfam family "5.8S ribosomal RNA", at positions 53 to 154 of the family's 154-position model. The record is from RNAcentral. Lineage: Eukaryota; Fungi; Ascomycota; Dothideomycetes; Pleosporales; Pleosporaceae.